UUUGAUUGCUACUGUCCAGCUAGUAGCAAUGGGUUGACUCCUCUCUGUGUCUUCUAUGACACCGUGACGGAGCACCCAGGAGGGUGCAGUUCUCAGAAGAGAGAAGGGUAGUUUGGGCAGAGAUGUCAAUAGCUUCUACCACAUUAUCUGAGCUGCAGAGAGAACUGCAGUUUUGCAAAACCGAGACUUGCCAGGGAACAUACAUCUAAUAUUUGGUGAAUCCAAGCCAGGAAAUGGUAAGUAAAACUUUAGUUCCUUGGCCACUGGCAUUCUGGAGCUCUCAGUACCAGUGCUGGAGAGCUCAUUGCUAAAUCUCCAUGAAUUUCUUAAGCAGGUCAACUGGUAACUGGAAGUUAGCCAAAGUUAGAAUAUUCACACUGUGAAAAUUGGUGACCAUUAUAAACCAGGACGUCUUUCCCCUUCCUUUUCAAAUACUUGGUUGACACGCAUGCCCUUGCCCAGCCCAUGAGGGGAGACUUGACAAGCAAUGCAGAUACCAUAUUUCAGAUGAGUGGCCAGUUCCCCACUGUCUGAUAGCAACCACCCCAACUCUACCAUUACCCGAUUGUCCUAUAGCCAGCUAGACCACUGGCUAGACCUGGGUGACACUUUUUCUGUCCCACACAGUUCCACAAAAUAAGCUCAUUGUUCUUGUGCUGCUCUUGUUACCAAAUUCAAAGCCAAUUCCGUCCUAAUUGUUGAACAACAAAUCUUCAGUAUUAAAAGAGUAAGACAAGCCUGAGCAAGUGCAUGCAAGCCAAAAGUAUCCUCAAGAGACUUGCUUAAAAGAAUUAAUAAAGCAGCCAAUAAAAAAAAAAAAAAUUCCUCCUGGGGAUUUGACUUGCUGGGUAGUUAUUUAAAGAUAAGUCAUGUACAAAUUUCUCAAGACAUCUUUCUCCAGCCUCCAGUGAUGUGGCCUGGCUGGUCACUACCUCAUUCCCAUCAUCAGGCAGUGGUCGGGAGAGAAAGGAACCUCCGUGUCUGUAAGUGAUUCCCCAGGGCUCUGGCCUCCGCCACCCAUCACGAAGCCCACUGACGCACCUCCACUGUCAUAUGGGCAGUGCUCAGCCCAGCCUCUUGUCCCACAUUUCUUAAGAGGCACAAACUGCAUGUACCUCACUGACCACAAAACAGCGCUGGGACGGGGUAGGGGCUCUGUAUUUCCAUCCGGUAAUGCUUCCUGGGUCACAGAGCCUAAAACAACACAAAGCAAUACUCCAGCCUUUCCAGAGGAAUGUGAGGGCAGUGAUCACCGCCACCACUGCUGCUGCUGUGACUCCGGAAUGAUUUCCCAGAACAUGACGUCAUUAUGAGAGUUCUGAGGCGUCUGUUCCCAUGGCAGACCUGGCACUAUUACUGCGCUUUCUUGGGGUACUCAGGAAACAUGAGGAUUACAAGAUAAAUGAAGUCCUGGCACUCACAUCUCUAGAGAUAAAAGAAUGCUUGAUCUUCUGAGGUGAGUCAGAGGUCAACCAAAUGUUUGACCCUCUUGAGUUCAAGCGAUGGCUGAUGAAUGACUGUUUGGAGAGAGCUUAUAUACAUCCCUUCUCUGGUCUGAAUGACUGAAUAAAUGAG
Long non-coding RNA from Chinchilla lanigera (long-tailed chinchilla), 1575 nucleotides. RefSeq lists it as uncharacterized. The transcript is spliced from 3 exons. The record is from RefSeq and is a predicted model, not a curated record. Lineage: Eukaryota; Metazoa; Chordata; Mammalia; Rodentia; Chinchillidae.